RNAcentral lists this non-coding RNA (25 nucleotides) under Mus musculus (house mouse). Lineage: Eukaryota; Metazoa; Chordata; Mammalia; Rodentia; Muridae. The record is from RNAcentral.
UGAUUCUUCUCUAGUAGCUGGCUGC